Molecule: transfer RNA, 90 nt
Filed under: Verrucomicrobiaceae bacterium
Lineage: Bacteria; Pseudomonadati; Verrucomicrobiota; Verrucomicrobiia; Verrucomicrobiales; Verrucomicrobiaceae
Also listed under: 7 other names
Description: tRNA-Ser
Rfam family: tRNA
About the family: Transfer RNA (tRNA) molecules are approximately 80 nucleotides in length.
Source: RNAcentral
GGACAGGUGGCAGAGUGGUCGAAUGCGCACGCUUGGAAAGCGUGUGAGGCAGCAAUGUCUCCGCGGGUUCGAAUCCCGCCCUGUCCGCCA